GUCCUAAUAGUUUAAAAAAAACCUUAGUCUUGUAAACUAAAAUUGUUCUUCUUAAGACU
This 59-nucleotide transfer RNA is filed under the name Stygobromus tenuis potomacus. Its description in RNAcentral is "tRNA-Thr". The record is from RNAcentral. Lineage: Eukaryota; Metazoa; Arthropoda; Malacostraca; Amphipoda; Crangonyctidae.